This 240-nucleotide long non-coding RNA is filed under the name Elaeis guineensis (African oil palm). RNAcentral's name for it is "long non-coding RNA (EGUI_LNC058658)". Lineage: Eukaryota; Viridiplantae; Streptophyta; Magnoliopsida; Arecales; Arecaceae. The record is from RNAcentral.
UCCUCUGCCUACAAGCUCGGGGAGGAGUUUGAACAUGCUUAUGUUUGGAGGGAGUUCGAGAACAUGGCCGAGCUUCACUCGGCUCUUUUUCAAUUAUGGGCUUGCUGGAGUUACCCGCCUGCCGCUCCUUCAUGGCCUCCUUGUCCUUCAGCUUGAAGGCUUCCUCUACUCGGACAUAUCCUUCGGCUCAAGCCAGCAAAUCAGUGAAGUCUCUGGGAUACUUUUUUUCCAAAGAAAAUA